Molecule: long non-coding RNA, 1507 nt
Filed under: Homo sapiens (human)
Lineage: Eukaryota; Metazoa; Chordata; Mammalia; Primates; Hominidae
Description: HSALNT0102793
Source: RNAcentral
ACAGGGAUCUUGCUGUGUUGCUCAGGCUGGUCUGAAACUGCUGGCUUCAAGGGAUCCUCCUGCCUUGGUCUCACAAAAUGCUGGGAUGACAGACAUGAGACACCAUGCCUAGCCAUGUCUCUCUCCUUAUAUAUAAUAAGAAAACAGACACACUGAGGCAUCCUAUCAUCUCACUCUUGGUUUCACUACUGUUCUCUGGAAGUUUUGCUCUGACCUUUUGCAGUUAAUGUAUUAAUUUUGCAUUGAGUAGUUUCCAUAGAAGAAUUAUAGCAUUUGCAUUCUGUUGGGUAUUAUACUUUUCACUGUUAUUUGAACAUAAUUUGAGGGCUGAAACCAAGAUGAGGCAAGUGAGGUGCCCAGGAAGCAAUAUUUAAGGAGGCAUCCUUUCUUAGGCUCAUGCAAGAACAGAAUUGGCACAUGAGAGUGAGUGCCUCCUUAAUUUUGAGUGCUGGACACUUCUUGCUCACUUAGCAUACCCCUGGACAAUGAAGUGUUUUUUGUUUUGUUUUUUCAUGUCCAUCCUUUAUCCUUCUUCAUCUCAAAACAUUUCAAUGGAGUAUUUUUUUGGAGCAGUACUUGGAUGAGCCUCUGAGUCCCACAGUAGCUGAGAAUUUAUUUCAUAGUACUCUUUAUGAUCACUGUGGAGCCUUAAAACAUUGUAAUAUUAACUUAGCUGGGAACAGAAAUUUUGUUCCACAAUUUGUCUUAUUCAGAACAGUAUUGACUUCCUGCUAGUCUCUUCUGAUGUCCAAUAUGAGGAAGUCUAGUUAGCCAGCUACUUUUUGUAGGAGAGCUAUGUUUAGGCUAGGUGCUAUAGGAUUCUCUUUAUCCUGGAAUUCCUUCACCAAGAUGUGCCAAGGUGUUAAUCAUUUUCUCUUGCUUUUUGGCUGGUGGUCUUAGAGUUUCCUUCGAUUUUGUUUUAUUUAGUGAUUGUCCUCAAUUUGUUUUCUUUACUAAGAAUCUCUCUUCUAUUUAUCUGUAUGGUAAAACCUUGUUGCCCAUCUUUCUGGUUUCUGCUGACUUUCAUUUUUGGACCUUUUACUUUGCUUUCUCCAUGGACUUUUUGGUAGUGGAGGCAGGCAAACACUUUCCAAAGUCUUUCUCAAUUUCCAUCAAUUUCAACUUAUUUCCUAAAAUUGCCUCAGAAUGUGCCUAUGUCCACAAUAUCCCUCCUUCCACUUUAGAAAGGAAAGGCAUCCACACUUUAUUUAGGUGCAAUGCCUGAAGUGUAAACACUUUCUGGUUGUCAACAAAGGAGUACUUCCAAAUAUUGGUUUGGGGAUAACCUGCUAAUGAUUAACACAUUCACCUUGGCUCUUGGUUUGCCUGCUCCCUCUUCUUUUAUCUGCUGUGUGUAUUUUUUUUAAUCACUGAGAAUAUGCACAGUAUUGUAUGUUUUAUUAUAAGAGAGGACUGGCCAGAGUGGGAAUGUUCUGAAUUCAGAAUAACUGAAGCAGUACAGGAUAGGAACUCAUUCUUUCAAAUGAAGCUGGCAUAUUUUCCCAGA